Molecule: ribosomal RNA, 177 nt
Filed under: Ophiocordyceps sinensis
Lineage: Eukaryota; Fungi; Ascomycota; Sordariomycetes; Hypocreales; Ophiocordycipitaceae
Also listed under: 1 other name
Description: 5.8S ribosomal RNA
Rfam family: 5.8S ribosomal RNA (bases 13-166)
About the family: 5.8S ribosomal RNA (5.8S rRNA) is a component of the large subunit of the eukaryotic ribosome.
Source: RNAcentral
CAAAUGAAUCAAAACUUUCAACAACGGAUCUCUUGGUUCUGGCAUCGAUGAAGAACGCAGCGAAAUGCGAUAAGUAAUGUGAAUUGCAGAAUUCAGUGAACCAUCGAAUCUUUGAACGCACAUUGCGCCCGCCAGCACUCUGGCGGGCAUGCCUGUCCGAGCGUCAUCUCAACCCUC